This 30-nucleotide non-coding RNA is filed under the name Rattus norvegicus (Norway rat). Lineage: Eukaryota; Metazoa; Chordata; Mammalia; Rodentia; Muridae. The record is from RNAcentral.
UUCCUUUCUGACGUUUGAAGCUUAGAUAGG